Molecule: ribosomal RNA, 199 nt
Filed under: uncultured bacterium
Lineage: Bacteria
Description: partial 16S ribosomal RNA
Rfam family: Bacterial small subunit ribosomal RNA
Source: RNAcentral
UAGUCUGCAACCCGACUACACGAAGCUGGAAUCGCUAGUAAUCGCGAAUCAGAAUGUCGCGGUGAAUACGUUCCCGGGUCUUGUACACACCGCCCGUCACACCAUGGGAGUCGGGAAUGCCCGAAGUCAGUGACCCAACCUUUGGAGGGAGCUGCCGAAGGCAGGUCUGAUAACUGGGGUGAAGUCGUAACAAGGUAGC